AAGUAUUUAUAUUUUGGAGCGGUUAGUGGCGGACUGGUGAGUAACACGUAAGCAACCUGCCUAUUAGAGGGGAAUAACAGUGAGAAAUCAUUGCUAGUACCGCAUAUGCUGUGAGUAUCGCAUGAUACAAACAGGAAAGGAGCAAUCCGCUAAUAGAUGGGCUUGCGUCUGAUUAGAUAGUUGGUGGGGUAACGGCCUACCAAGUCGACGAUCAGUAGCCGGACUGAGAGGUUGAACGGCCACAUUGGGACUGAGAUACGGCCCAGACUCCUACGGGAGGCAGCAGUCGGGAAUAUUGCACAAUGGAGGAAACUCUGAUGCAGUGACGCCGCGUGCAGGAAGAAGGUUUUCGGAUUGUAAACUGCUUUAGAUAGGGAAGAUAAAAGACGGUACCUAUAGAAUAAGCUCCGGCUAACUACGUGCCAGCAGCCGCGGUAAUACGUAGGGAGCAAGCGUUAUCCGGAUUUAUUGGGUGUAAAGGGUGCGUAGACGGGAAUUUAAGUUAGUUGUGAAAUCCCUCGGCUUAACUGAGGAACUGCAACUAAAACUGAAUUUCUUGAGUGCGGGAGAGGAAAGUGGAAUUCCUAGUGUAGCGGUGAAAUGCGUAGAUAUUAGGAGGAACACCAGUGGCGAAGGCGACUUUCUGGACCGUAACUGACGUUGAGGCACGAAAGUGUGGGGAGCAAACAGGAUUAGAUACCCUGGUAGUCCACACUGUAAACGAUGGAUACUAGGUGUAGGGAAUAUU
RNAcentral lists this ribosomal RNA (748 nucleotides) under uncultured bacterium. Its description in RNAcentral is "bacterial SSU rRNA". It matches the Rfam family "Bacterial small subunit ribosomal RNA", at positions 74 to 833 of the family's 1533-position model. The record is from RNAcentral.